Molecule: unclassified non-coding RNA, 321 nt
Organism: Fukomys damarensis (Damara mole-rat)
Lineage: Eukaryota; Metazoa; Chordata; Mammalia; Rodentia; Bathyergidae
Gene: 7SK
Rfam family: 7SK RNA
About the family: 7SK was discovered as an abundant small nuclear RNA in the mid-70s but a possible function has only recently been suggested.
Source: Ensembl
GGAUGUGAGGGCGAUCUGGUUGCGACAUCUGUCACCCCAUUGAUCGCCAGGGUUGAUUCGGCUGAUCUGGCUGGCUAGGCGGGUGUCCCCUUCCUGCCUCACCGCUCCAUGUGCGUCCCUCCCGAAGCUGCGUGCUGGGUCUGGAAGAGGACGACCACACCCGAUACAGGGGGACUGUUUCCACUGUCAAGGGUAUACGAGCAGCUGCGCUCCCCGCUAGAACCUCCAAACGAGCUCUCAAUUCCUGGUACCGAAAUAAAUAAAUAAACAAACAAACAAAUAAAAUAAAACCAGGUCUUCACACACUAUACAAACUUAUUU